AAGGGGGUGCUUGCAACGUUCAAAAAACAGAACGUACCGCAGGCUGAGAUGAUACCCAUAUUACCUGAUACGGAUAAUGCCGUCGAAGGGAAUUGUAAAC
This 100-nucleotide non-coding RNA is filed under the name uncultured Parabacteroides sp. Lineage: Bacteria; Pseudomonadati; Bacteroidota; Bacteroidia; Bacteroidales; Tannerellaceae. The record is from RNAcentral.